UUCCAUUCUCUUGCCUGCAGCUGUUUUGUUUGCAUAAAGCAUAAAAUGUCUCCCAGUUGUUCAAGGCUAAUUAAAGUGGUAGAUAAAGUUACCCAGAGAGUCUCAGGUUAACACUUUGUUGGCAAAAAAUAAAAAAGAUUGCUUAAUUUCCCCCCUUUUCACAAUUGCUUUUUAACAAUUUAAGAUUUCUAAAGAUUUUACUUCAGGCAACUUUAUUUCUCUGAAGUGUGCCUAAAGACUUCCUGAGUCAGCUUUCAUGCUCCCACACUCAUUACCACAAGGGUCUGUGGCAAAGAACUGGAUACUUAGCCUAGCAAAUUUGCUGAUUCCAGACCUGAUAUGACAGCAAUUCCCAUGGUAGUUGGAUCAGCCUGACAGAGUUGGCCAAGAGAAACACAAUAAUCAUUUGAGAUCCUAUUUAGCCUGCCUGGACUGUACUGCCAUGAUCUCGGCUCGCUGCAACCUCUCUGCCUCGGGCUCCCGUGAUUCUCCUGCCUCGGCCUGCUGAGUGCCUGGGAUUCCAGGCACGCAUCACCACUCCUGACUGAUUUUUGUAUUUUUGGUGGAGACGGGGUUUCACCGUGUUGACCGGGCUGGUCUCCAGCUCCUGGCCUCGGGUGAUCUGCCCCCCUCGGCCUCCCAAGGUGCUGGGAUUGCAGACGGAGUCUCGCUCACUCAAUGCUCAAUGUUGUCCAGGCUGGAGUGCAGUGGCGUGAUCUCGGCUUGCUACAACCUCCACCUCCCAGCCGCCUGCCUUGGCCUCCCAAAGUGCUAAGAUUGUAGCCUCUGCCUGCCUGCCACCCCGUCUAGGAAGUGAGCAGCGUCUCUGCCUGACCGCCUAUCGUCUGGGAUGUGAGGAGCCCCUCUGCCCAGCUGCCCCGUCUAGGAAGUGAGGAGUGCCUCUGCCCGGCCACCACCCCGUCUAGGAAGUGAGGAGCAUCUCUGCCUGGCCGCCCAUCGUCUGGGAUGUGAGGAGCGCCUCUGCCCGGCCGCCACCCCGUCUAGGAAGUGAGGAGCGUCUCUGCCUGGCCGCCCAUCAUCUGGGAUGUGAGGAGCGCCUCUGCCCGGCCGCCCUGUCUGGGAAGUGAGGAGCGCCUCUGCCCGGCCGCCCCGUCUGGAAGGAAGUGAGGAGCGCCUCUGCCCAGCUGCCCCGAAUGGGAAGUGAGGAGUGCCUCUGCCCGGCCGCCCCAUCUGGGAAGUGAGGAGCGCCUCUGCCCGGCCACCCUGUCUGGGAUGUGAGGAGCGCCUCUGCCCGGCUGCCACCCCGCCUGGGAGGCAAGGAGCGCCUCUGACUGGCAGCCCCAUCUGGCAACUGAGGAGCACCUCUGCCCGGCCGCCACCCCAUCUGGGAAGUGGGGAGCGCCUCUGCCCGGCCACCCCAUCUGGGAUGUGAGGAGCGCCUCUGCUCGGCCACCCCAUCUGGGAAGUGAGGAGCGCCUCUGCCCAGCCACCCCAUCUGUGACGUGAGGAGCGCCUCUUCCCGGCCGCCACCCCGUCUGGGAUGUGAGGAGCGCCUCUGCCCGGCCGCCCUGUCUGGGAACUGAGGAGCGCCUCUGCCCGGCCGCCCUGUCUGGGAAGUGGGGAGUGCCUCUGCCCAGCCACCCCGUCGGGGAGGUGAGGAGCAUCUCUGCCCGGCCACCCAUCAUCUGGGAUGUGAGGAGCGCCUCUGGCUGGCCGCCCUUUGUCUGGGAGGUGAGAAGCGCCUCUGCCCAGCCGCCCCAUCUGGGAGGUGAGGAGCCUCUGUGCCCGGCUGCCCCAUCUGGGAGGUGAGGAGCGCCU
RNAcentral lists this long non-coding RNA (1779 nucleotides) under Pan troglodytes (chimpanzee). RNAcentral describes it as "long non-coding RNA NONPTRT015741". The record is from RNAcentral. Lineage: Eukaryota; Metazoa; Chordata; Mammalia; Primates; Hominidae.